UGGGGAAUAUUGGACAAUGGGCGAAAGCCUGAUCCAGCCAUGCCGCGUGUGUGAAGAAGGUCUUCGGAUUGUAAAGCACUUUAAGUUGGGAGGAAGGGCAGUAAGCGAAUACCUUGCUGUUUUGACGUUACCGACAGAAUAAGCACCGGCUAACUCUGUGCCAGCAGCCGCGGUAAUACAGAGGGUGCAAGCGUUAAUCGGAAUUACCGGGCGUAAAGCGCGCGUAGGUGGUUCGUUAAGUUGAAUGUGAAAGCCCCGGGCUCAACCUGGGAACUGCAUCCAAAACUGGCGAGCUAGAGUAGGGCAGAGGGUGGUGGAAUUUCCUGUGUAGCGGUGAAAUGCGUAGAUAUAGGAAGGAACACCAGUGGCGAAGGCGACCACCUGGGCUCAUACUGACACUGAGGUGCGAAAGCGUGGGGAGCAAACAGG
RNAcentral lists this ribosomal RNA (429 nucleotides) under Pseudomonadota bacterium. Its description in RNAcentral is "Proteobacteria bacterium partial 16S ribosomal RNA". It matches the Rfam family "Bacterial small subunit ribosomal RNA", at positions 355 to 776 of the family's 1533-position model. Lineage: Bacteria; Pseudomonadati; Pseudomonadota. The record is from RNAcentral.